GUAAGUAAAAUAUGCUAAGAGUCACACCGCAUUAUUAGACACUUCCUGACUGGGCUUUGCGGACUUGGUGCGGUUAUAAAAAAAGUAAAUCGGACUACCUUCAAAAAAGUGCCACAAGGUCUAGAUUUAACUACGCCUAUGGCACAUAAGAAUAAGUUUGCAGAGUCAACUAAUGGGUUUAAUUCAACCUAUUGUCAGGGAUUAGAAAGUGAAGAAAAAGAGGUAUUUCCAUUUUAGUUAUCACUGUAUUAUUUUACCUUUCACAUUUUCAUUCUGGUAAACAAAUAAAAUAUGUGUUCAACUUUUUGUUCUCGAUUCAGUUAUUUUUUUAAUUUCAGUAUACUGUUAC
Molecule: long non-coding RNA, 349 nt
Organism: Melitaea cinxia (Glanville fritillary)
Lineage: Eukaryota; Metazoa; Arthropoda; Insecta; Lepidoptera; Nymphalidae
Exons: 2
Source: RefSeq, a predicted model, not a curated record